Molecule: ribosomal RNA, 253 nt
Filed under: uncultured bacterium
Lineage: Bacteria
Description: partial 16S ribosomal RNA
Rfam family: Bacterial small subunit ribosomal RNA
Source: RNAcentral
UACGGGGGGGGCAAGCGUUGUUCGGAAUUACUGGGCGUAAAGGGCUCGUAGGCGGCCAACUAAGUCAGACGUGAAAUCCCUCGGCUUAACCGGGGAACUGCGUCUGAUACUGGAAGGCUUGAAUCCGGGAGAGGGAUGCGGAAUUCCAGGUGUAGCGGUGAAAUGCGUAGAUAUCUGGAGGAACACCGGUGGCGAAGGCGGCAUCCUGGACCGGUAUUGACGCUGAGGCGCGAAAGCCAGGGGAGCAAACGGG